RNAcentral lists this signal recognition particle RNA (117 nucleotides) under Pan troglodytes (chimpanzee). RNAcentral's name for it is "Metazoan signal recognition particle RNA". It matches the Rfam family "Metazoan signal recognition particle RNA". From Rfam's summary of the family: The signal recognition particle (SRP) is a universally conserved ribonucleoprotein. It is involved in the co-translational targeting of proteins to membranes. The record is from Rfam by way of RNAcentral. Lineage: Eukaryota; Metazoa; Chordata; Mammalia; Primates; Hominidae.
GCUGGGUGUGGUGGCUCACACCUGUAAUCCCAAUACCUUGGGAGGCUGAGGUGGGUGAAUCACUUGAGGCCAGGAGUUUGAGACCAGCCUGGCCAAUAUGGUGAAACCCCAUCUCUA